This is a long non-coding RNA of Megalobrama amblycephala (Wuchang bream), 466 nucleotides long. RefSeq lists it as uncharacterized. NCBI's taxonomy places the organism in Eukaryota, Metazoa, Chordata, Actinopteri, Cypriniformes, Xenocyprididae. The transcript is spliced from 4 exons. The record is from RefSeq and is a predicted model, not a curated record.
ACAAUUGUGUCGUCUGUACGCGGAAAACUCAAAGGAAAAACGUAUUCGUUUUAAGCAUAUCGUUGUCGUGCAAACGCACCCUUAAGUAGCCACGAUGUCAUGCUCGGGGCAUGCGCACUAGAAAACGUUCGCCCAAGUGCAUCACGAGACAAUUUCCAAUGGGUUAUAGAGCCAUGGUGAAUGACGCACAAGUUGUUCCUGCAGCUGUGAGGUCUUUGUGAGAUAAAGAUGCAACAUCAAGCCAGUGUAAUACAGUAUAUAAGAUGCUGUGCAGAGCUACCUAGAAUAGGAGUCGGCAGUUAAGGCAGGUUGAAAGGACAGACACAAUCCAGCCCCUUCGAGAACCCUGAUGAAUCCAUCUCUUCAAGCACCUCUAAACAGCCAUUGAUGACUUGCGUUUGAUUAUCCUUCUGUUUUUUUGAGUUGACCUUUCAUUACUGUGCCUUUACGAUUCUCUGUCUAUUAA